UGCGAAUGGCUCAUUAAAUCAGUUAUCGUUUAUUUGAUAGUACCUUACUACAUGGAUACCUGUGGUAAUUCUAGAGCUAAUACAUGCUAAAAACCCCGACUUCGGGAGGGGUGUAUUUAUUAGAUAAAAAACCAAUGCCCCUCGGGGCUCCUUGGUGAAUCAUAAUAACUUAACGAAUCGCAUGGCCUUGCGCCGGCGAUGGUUCAUUCAAAUUUCUGCCCUAUCAACUUUCGAUGGUAGGAUAGUGGCCUACCAUGGUGGCAACGGGUAACGGGGAAUUAGGGUUCGAUUCCGGAGAGGGAGCCUGAGAAACGGCUACCACAUCCAAGGAAGGCAGCAGGCGCGCAAAUUACCCAAUCCCGACACGGGGAGGUAGUGACAAUAAAUACUGAUACGGGGCUCUUUUGGGUCUCGUAAUUGGAAUGAGUACAAUCUAAAUCCCUUAACGAGGAACAAUUGGAGGGCAAGUCUGGUGCCAGCAGCCGCGGUAAUUCCAGCUCCAAUAGCGUAUAUUAAAGUUGUUGCAGUUAAAAAGCUCGUAGUUGAACCUUGGGUCUGGCUGGCCGGUCCGCCUCACCGCGAGUACUGGUCCGGCUGGACCUUUCCUUCUGGGGAAUCCCAUGGCCUUCACUGGCUGUGGGUGGAACCAGGACUUUUACUGUGAAAAAAUUAGAGUGUUCAAAGCAGGCCUUUGCUCGGAUACAUUAGCAUGAAAUAAUAGAAUAGGACGUGCGGUUCUAUUUUUGUUGGUUUCUAGGACCGCCGUAAUGAUUAAUAGGGAUAGUCGGGGCCGUCAGUAUUCCAGCUGUCAGAGGUGAAAUU
RNAcentral lists this ribosomal RNA (822 nucleotides) under Aspergillus versicolor. RNAcentral describes it as "SSU rRNA". It matches the Rfam family "Eukaryotic small subunit ribosomal RNA", at positions 88 to 918 of the family's 1831-position model. The record is from RNAcentral. Lineage: Eukaryota; Fungi; Ascomycota; Eurotiomycetes; Eurotiales; Aspergillaceae.